RNAcentral lists this ribosomal RNA (444 nucleotides) under uncultured bacterium. RNAcentral's name for it is "bacterial SSU rRNA". It matches the Rfam family "Bacterial small subunit ribosomal RNA", at positions 28 to 505 of the family's 1533-position model. The record is from RNAcentral.
GAUGAACGCUGGCGACGUGGAUGAGGCAUGCAAGUCGAAUGGGUUUAGACCCAUGGCAGACGAGGUAGGAACACGUAGGUGACGUACCCCAAAGUCAAGGAUAUUCUGGCGAAAGUCAGCGCAAUACUUGAUGGUCUCCCAAUUUCAUUAUUGGGAGUAAAGAUUUAUCGCUUUGGGAACGGCCUGCGGGCUAUCAGCUUGAUGGUAAGGUAACGGCUUACCAUGGCUACGACGGCUAGGGGAGGUGAGAGCCUGACCCCCACCGAUGGAACUGAGACACGGUCCAUACUCCUACGGGAGGCCGCAGUCGAGAAUCUUCCACAAUGGGCGCAAGCCUGAUGGAGCGACGUCGCGUGGUGGAUGAAGUCCUUAGGGACGUAAACACCUUUUAUGAGUGAAGAAGUAUAUUGACAUUAGCUCAUGAAUAAGGGGCUCCCAACUCUG